CGAUACAGAGAUUAGCAUGGCCCCUGCACAAGGAUGACACGCAAAUUCGUGAAGUGUUCCAUAUUUUU
This 68-nucleotide small nuclear RNA is filed under the name Otolemur garnettii (small-eared galago). The record is from RNAcentral. Lineage: Eukaryota; Metazoa; Chordata; Mammalia; Primates; Galagidae.